UUCUGGAAUGUUCCCUCCCUUCCCUUCAAAGUAUUGCCAUUGCUGGUGUCUGUGCCGCUAACAUGGGGGUGCAGUCAGUGUGCAAUAGGAUUCAGGUCACACUUGGCAUAGUUAUACAUUUGUUUUGUGAUCUUCUUCCAUGUUUCUAUAGAAUCACAAGUAAAUAAUCAAAUAUAUCAUGAAGAUAUACUAAUGGCAAGCAAAGUCAAAAUAUCAGCAAGGAAGGAAUGUUUCAUGCCUGGAGGAAGACACAUUGUGAAGGAGUAUUGCUGUGAGCAGCAGGUGAGGUUGAACUUCUUCACUGGAGAACAAGCUUUAGGAGCAGAAAGAACAUAGAUAAAUUCAGAGUGAAAGUAAGAACACUUAACUACUGAUAAAAGAAGUCCCAAGAUUUUUCUUAAGAAAGGAUACUGUCUUUGGAAGAUCUACUUUUUAGAAAGAUACAAGGGGAUGCAGGAGAUGCUUAGUGUUUUUUAAUUCAUAUUUUAAGAAACAAAACAGAACUGUGGUAUCUUUACCUCCUCCGAGGAGACCUACUCCGCCUUCUUGGUGAUCGGCUACGUCUAAGAGGUGACCGAGACCUCC
Cygnus olor (mute swan) is the source of this 585-nucleotide long non-coding RNA. RefSeq lists it as uncharacterized. Lineage: Eukaryota; Metazoa; Chordata; Aves; Anseriformes; Anatidae. The transcript is spliced from 5 exons. The record is from RefSeq and is a predicted model, not a curated record.